UCCCGCAACCGCAACCGCACCC
RNAcentral lists this non-coding RNA (22 nucleotides) under Arabidopsis thaliana (thale cress). The record is from RNAcentral. Lineage: Eukaryota; Viridiplantae; Streptophyta; Magnoliopsida; Brassicales; Brassicaceae.